UACAGAGACUGCAAGCGUUAUUCGGAUUUACUGGGCGUAAAGGGUGUGCAGGCUGCCCCUCAAGUGGUGUAUGAAAGGGCUCGGCUCAACCGGGCUAGGUUAUGCCAGACUGAGGGGCUAGAGAGCGAGAGCGGGACGUGGAAUUCCGGGUGUAGUGGUGAAAUGCGUAGAGAUCCGGAGGAACCCCAGAGGCGAAGGCGGCGUCCUGGCUCGCAUCUGACGCUCAGACACGACAGCAUGGGGAGCGAACGGG
This 253-nucleotide ribosomal RNA is filed under the name uncultured bacterium. RNAcentral's name for it is "partial 16S ribosomal RNA". It matches the Rfam family "Bacterial small subunit ribosomal RNA", at positions 524 to 776 of the family's 1533-position model. The record is from RNAcentral.